AAUCAACGCUGGCGGCGUGCCUCAGACAUGCAAGUCGAACGAUUAAAGCUCUCUUCGGAGAGUGUAUAGAGUGGCGCACGGGUGAGUAACACGUAAGUAAUCUACCUUCGAGUGGGGAAUAACCCGGGGAAACCCGAGCUAAUACCGCAUAAUGCAGCGGCAUCGCAAGAUGACAGUUGUUAAAGGAUUUAUUCGCUUGAAGAGGAGCUUGCGGCAGAUUAGCUUGUUGGUAAGGUAACGGCUUACCAAGGCGACGAUCUGUAACCGGUCUAAGAGGACGGUCGGUCACACUGACACUGAAUAACGGGUCAGACUCCUACGGGAGGCAGCAGUC
Molecule: ribosomal RNA, 334 nt
Filed under: uncultured bacterium
Lineage: Bacteria
Description: bacterial SSU rRNA
Rfam family: Bacterial small subunit ribosomal RNA
Source: RNAcentral